Molecule: long non-coding RNA, 449 nt
Organism: Passer domesticus (house sparrow)
Lineage: Eukaryota; Metazoa; Chordata; Aves; Passeriformes; Passeridae
Exons: 5
Source: RefSeq, a predicted model, not a curated record
CAGAUGUAUCUACAGGGAGGACUUCUCCAGCUUCUCCAGCUCCUACCUUGGAUGCUAUACGCAAGCCCAGCUCCCAUCACAGUGGUACUCCAACAGGGAAAGUCCAAGAUACAACAGAUAAGAUGUCCCUGCAACCAUCCAAACAGAUUAGGCAAGAGCUGAAGGCACCCCUGCAGACAAGAGAAGAGAUGGACAUAAUGCUUCAGUGGAAGUUGGCAUUUCUUGAAGGAAGCACUCCAUCUUCGGUGCGAGCCCCAGCUGCAGGAAGGAAGGCAAAGCCAGACACGGGCACAGGCACAGCAGACUGGGAUGCUGGGAAUGAUUCUGCAUUAGCCUGGCGCUCUGAAGUUGUGAAGCCCUCCGAGCAUUCUGCAGAUGUGUCUGCAGGGACGACUUCACCAACUCCUACCCUGGAUGCUGCACAAAAGCCCAGCUCCUAUGGCAGGGGU